CUAUACCACGGAUAUUUAUAAAAGAAAAAGACUAUAUAUUAUUGUCUGGAUUACUUGAAAUAUCUUUUCUUUUUAAUAUACAAUUUUACAUUCUAAUAUAAAUUUUUAGGUCAGGUGUUGGAGUACUACAGUACUAAAUCAGAGUGCAAAAGGGGGAAAAAGAGAACUAGACAUAAUAAAAAUUAUUGACAACAUCCUAGCUAGCCUGAAAAUACAUGGGAAUUGAGAUGGGGAACAAUGCAUUCUAUCAUUUGAUAGCCCAGAAUGAAUAACUUUAAGAAAGUAAGUUAACAUAAUAGCCAUCCUUUAUAUGCUACAUCGGAUUCAAAUUUCACAGAUAUAUAUAUGCAUAACAUGUUUAAUACUACCGUUAAUGCUAGUGUAUUUAGAUUUGACUUUGUAUAAUUUCAACAAGUAUUUCUGACCAUUAGACAAAUUACCAAUAUUAAAAAAAGAAAAAAAGAUUGGUUAUUUUUAAGAUUUUAUUUUGUAUUAAAUAGUGUUUAAUAUAUUUAGAAUAUAUACAUUAAUUUAUAUAACAUAUCUAGUAGGAGAUUACGCACGCAUGCAUUAGGCAAAUACACAGUUCAAAUAUACUUAUUACUUUAUUACAGAGUCGGUUAGAAACAAUCGUAGCUCACUGCUGUCAAAGAGAAUUCAGAUAAGGAGCUAGAGGAUGCAGCUAAAGAUUGGCUGCGGUUUAGCCUUGACAGAGAAGGUGGCAGGAAACAGAGAAGGGAA
Molecule: long non-coding RNA, 741 nt
Filed under: Mytilus galloprovincialis (Mediterranean mussel)
Lineage: Eukaryota; Metazoa; Mollusca; Bivalvia; Mytilida; Mytilidae
Source: RNAcentral